Molecule: long non-coding RNA, 2206 nt
Filed under: Phasianus colchicus (ring-necked pheasant)
Lineage: Eukaryota; Metazoa; Chordata; Aves; Galliformes; Phasianidae
Description: lncRNA (ENSPCLG00000016488.1)
Source: RNAcentral
GUGACACACGGGGCGGUGACAUGGCGUGGAGGUGACACAGGGGUGGAGGUGGCACACGGGAUGGUGACAUGGAGGUGACAUGGGGUGGAGGUGACACACGGGGUGGUAGGGGUGACAUAGGAUGGGGGUGACAUGGGGUGGAGGUGACACGGGGUGGAGGUGACACGGGGUGGAGGUGACACGCGGGGCGCUGACGCGGCGCGGUGUUGCCAGGCGCGGUGUUGCCAGGCGCGGUGCCGGCGGUGCCGCGUGCCACUACCUGCGCGGCGCGCCGUCGUCGUGGGGGGGCACGAUGACCACCUUGACGGUGACGGAGGUGCGCAGCAGGUCGAUCAUCUGCUCGUGGCUCAGCGUCACCACGGCCACCUUGCAGAUCUCCACCAGCCGGCUGCCCUGCCGCAGCCCCGCCUGCCACGCGAAGCCGUAGUCCUCCACCUCGGCCACCGUGCCGUCGUACUUCACGUGGAAGCCCAGCUGGCCCAGCCCGUUGCGUCGCAGGGUCAUGUCCACCGUGUCGCAGCCCGGCGUCGUCACCUGGGGGGUGGGGUGGAAACGGGGGGUGUCGGCGGAGACCCCCGGCCCGGGGGAGGGGGGGGAGCUGGGAUCCGUUGCUCGCGGCGCAGAGCGGGCGGUGGUUGGUUGGGUGGUUGGGUUGGGAGGGUGGGGGCUGGUGGUCGGUUGUUGGUUGGCCACCGGGCAACUGUUGGUCAAUGGUUGGUCAGUCAUUGGUCAAGCGUUGGUCAACUGGUGGUCAGUCAUUGGUCAAUGGUUGGCCAACCAUUGGUCAACUGGUGGUCAGUCAUUGGCCAAUUGCUGGCCAACCAUUGGUCAACUGGUGGUCAGUCAUUGGCCAAUUGUUGGCCAACCAUUGGUCAACUGGUGGUCAGUCAUUGGCCAAUUGUUGGCCAACCAUUGGUCAACUGGUGGUCAGUCAUUGGUCAACCAGUGGUCAGUCAUUGGUCAAUGGUUGGCCAACCACUGGUGAACUGUUGGUCAAUCAUUGGUCAAUCGUUGGUCAAGCAUUCAUCAACUAUUGGUCAAUCACUGGUCAACCAUUGGUCAAUCGUUGGUCAACCACUGGUCAACCCAUGGCCAACCAUUGGUCAACAAUUCAUCAACUGUUGGUCAACCACAAUUCAAUGGUUGGCCAACCAAUCGCCAACCACUGGCCAACCACUGGCCAACCACUGGCCAACCACUGGCUGACCAUUGGCCAACGACUCAACCAUUGACCAACCCAUGGCCAAUCACUCAACCACUGGCCAACCAUUGGCCAAUGACUCAACCACUGGCCAACCACUGGCCCACCAUUGGCCAACCACUCAACCACUGGCCAACCACUGGCUGACCACUGGCCAACGACUCAAUCAUUGGUGAACCACUGGCCAACCACUCAACCACUGGUCAACCCAUGGCCAACCACUCAACUAUUGGCCAACCACUGGCCAACCACUGGCUGACCAUUGGCCAACAACUCAACCACUGGCCAACCAUUGGCCAACCACUCAACUACUGGCCAACGAUUGGCCAACCACUCAACCAUUGCCCAACCACUCAACCACUGGCCAACCACUGGCCAACCAUUGGCCAACCACUCAACCAUUGCCCAACCACUCAACUAUUGGCCAACCCAUGGCCAACCAUUGGUCAACCACUCAACCACUGGCCAACCACUGGCCAACCACUGGCCAACCACUGGCCAACCACUCAACCACUGGCCAACCACUGGCCGACCAUUGGCCAACGACUCAACCAUUGGUGAAUCACUGGCCAACCACUCAACCACUGGCCCACCAUUGGCCAACCACUCAACCGUUGCCCAACCACUCAACCAGUGGUCAACCCACGGCCAACCAUUGGCCAACGACUCAACCACUGGUGAACCACUGGCCAACCACUCAACCACUGGCCAACGACUCAACCGCUGCCCAACCAGGACCCUCAGCGCCACCUGAGCAGCACGAUUUGCCCUCCCCCGAUUCCCCACAUCCACCCCACCCCCCAGAAGACCCCGCGCAUCCCCCUCCCCGCAGACCUUCAACCUCUGCACGAUCUCCCUGACGUCAUCCGGCCCCCCGUCGGCCGCCCGCACGCAGACGUGAUCCCCGCGCCCGUAGAAGAGCUUCAGGUUGGCGCCGUCGGCCGUCCAGCCGAUGACGUCCGCGCAGAAGCAAUUGAAGACCACCUCCUUGGCCCCCAGGUCCAG